ACACUCCUGCGGGAGGCAGCAGUGGGGAAUAUUGCACAAUGGGCGCAAGCCUGAUGCAGCCAUGCCGCGUGUAUGAAGAAGGCCUUCGGGUUGUAAAGUACUUUCAGCGGGGAGGAAGGCAAUACGGUUAAUAACCGUGUUGAUUGACGUUACCCGCAGAAGAAGCACCGGCUAACUCCGUGCCAGCAGCCGCGGUAAUACGGAGGGUGCAAGCGUUAAUCGGAAUUACUGGGCGUAAAGCGCACGCAGGCGGUCUGUCAAGUCGGAUGUGAAAUCCCCGGGCUCAACCUGGGAACUGCAUUCGAAACUGGCAGGCUUGAGUCUUGUAGAGGGGGGUAGAAUUCCAGGUGUAGCGGUGAAAUGCGUAGAGAUCUGGAGGAAUACCGGUGGCGAAGGCGGCCCCCUGGACAAAGACUGACGCUCAGGUGCGAAAGCGUGGGGAGCAAACAGGAUUAGAUACCCUAGUAUCCCAUGA
RNAcentral lists this ribosomal RNA (475 nucleotides) under uncultured organism. RNAcentral's name for it is "partial 16S ribosomal RNA". It matches the Rfam family "Bacterial small subunit ribosomal RNA", at positions 333 to 800 of the family's 1533-position model. The record is from RNAcentral.